UGCAUCGUAGUGUGAAUUGCAGAAUUCCGCGAAUCAUCGAGUCUUUGAACGCAAGUUGCGCCCGAGGCUUGUCCAAGGGCAUUUCCGCUAGAGCGUCACC
This 100-nucleotide ribosomal RNA is filed under the name Pseudoleskea patens. Its description in RNAcentral is "partial 5.8S ribosomal RNA". It matches the Rfam family "5.8S ribosomal RNA", at positions 56 to 154 of the family's 154-position model. Rfam says of the family: 5.8S ribosomal RNA (5.8S rRNA) is a component of the large subunit of the eukaryotic ribosome. It is transcribed by RNA polymerase I as part of the 45S precursor that also contains 18S and 28S rRNA. Functionally, it is thought that 5.8S rRNA may be involved in ribosome translocation. The record is from RNAcentral. Lineage: Eukaryota; Viridiplantae; Streptophyta; Bryopsida; Hypnales; Leskeaceae.